UACAGAGGGGGCAAGCGUUGUUCGGAAUUACUGGGCGUAAAGGGCGCGUAGGCGGCCUGUUAAGUCGAACGUGAAAUCCCCGGGCUCAACCCGGGAACUGCGUCCGAUACUGGCAGGCUUGAAUCCGGGAGAGGGAUGCGGAAUUCCAGGUGUAGCGGUGAAAUGCGUAGAUAUCUGGAGGAACACCGGUGGCGAAGGCGGCAUCCUGGACUGGUAUUGACGCUGAGGCGCGAAAGCCAGGGGAGCAAACGGG
RNAcentral lists this ribosomal RNA (253 nucleotides) under uncultured bacterium. RNAcentral's name for it is "partial 16S ribosomal RNA". It matches the Rfam family "Bacterial small subunit ribosomal RNA", at positions 524 to 776 of the family's 1533-position model. The record is from RNAcentral.